Molecule: unclassified non-coding RNA, 503 nt
Filed under: Hevea brasiliensis (rubber tree)
Lineage: Eukaryota; Viridiplantae; Streptophyta; Magnoliopsida; Malpighiales; Euphorbiaceae
Source: RNAcentral
GCCAUCCACCAGAAUCCAUCCACAGAGCCUCUGUUGUAAUCGCAUUUUCCCAAUUUCCAGAUGGACAGAAGGCACCUGAGACAACAGGUCACCUACGUGAGAAAGUCACUCUUUGAUCAGGGCUACCUUGAUGAUCAAUUCAUGCAACUUGAGGAUUUGCAAGAUGAUGCAAACCCUAAUUUUGUAGAGGAAAUUGUAGCUUCCUUUUAUAGUGAUUCAGCAAGAUUGAUCCAGAAUAUAGAACAGGCAUUAGUGAGCAGGCCUGUUGAUUUUGGCAAGCUAGAUGAUUGCAUGCACCAGUUCAAGGGAAGCAGCUCAAGCAUUGGAGCUAAAAAGGUGAACAUGGAAUGCUCACAGUUCAGGGAAUACUGUUGUGCAGGAAAUAUUGAGGGAUGCAUUAGGACUUUCCAACAAAUCAAGCAAGAGCAUGCCACUUUGAGGAAGAAGCUCGAAAACUUUUUCCAGUUGGCAAGACAAGCUGGACAAGCUGAGACUGCCUAAAG